Sturnus vulgaris (Common starling) is the source of this 1282-nucleotide non-coding RNA. NCBI's taxonomy places the organism in Eukaryota, Metazoa, Chordata, Aves, Passeriformes, Sturnidae. The record is from RefSeq and is a predicted model, not a curated record.
AGGAGGUGUUGGAGCAGCUGCCCCUGCCAAGACAGAGGAUGUGACACGCAUGCACUGGCCUCAGGGCUGAGGAAACUGGCCGUGCUUUCAGGGAGAGUGACAAGGGAGAUGACACAGUGAAGAGUGAGAAAGUGUAAGGAAAGAAAGUUUACCAAUCUCACUCAUAAUCUGAGACUGAUGUCAAAACAAAUGUCUGGAGAGAAUUAGUGUAAAACAAGAAGGAAGUGAAUAGGCCAUGUAGUAUUGGAGAAAAUGAGCAAGAGAUCAAGAGGUCGCUCUCAGAGAUGCUACAAUCUCAGGAAUCUCAAACCUCCACUGUAGGGGAACCCUCAAGUAGUCGAGGAUCUGUUGAACAUGAAGGCUAGAAGCUGGGCACUGCUCAUACUGGAAGGAAGGCAGAAACUUGGCAAUGACAAGUAGGACUGGCACAUCUUAUGACAGAUAUGUGGCCCUGGAACUAGGACAGUCAAUUGAUAAAGUGGAUGAAGGUCCUUCUGGGACAAAGAGCCCAUUUAGGGCAGUACAAUCUAACCCCUCCUUCCAAACUCUAUUAAGAGCAAAAGAACGGUAUUUAUCAGAGGCAGCUUCCUUCUAGUGGAAGAAAGUGCCCAAUAUGCAAACCAGAUGCAGCCAACAGGAAAACCUUCUCCCUCCCUGGGGUUCUGGUAAGAGAUAUUACUAGAGAGCUCUCCAGCCUAAUAAGGUCCUCUAAUUGUUAUCCAUUAUUAGUUCUUCAAGUCAGUGGUGGUAAGUUAACAAAGAGAAGUCUGAGGGCAAUCAAAGUGGAUAUUGUAUAUCCAUCAGGUCAAUGCAUGGCUCUGAGGUUAGUGUCACCGGAAUAAUUUUGGGGUUUUUGACCAUGAGGUAACUAUGCAACACUUGGUUUAAUAAUACGUGAUGGGAUGAAUCUACCUCAGAAGGGAAAGAAAAAUAAUUCAGACACAGGAGUUAGCUGGGCUCAUCGACAAAGCUUUAAACUAGAUUUGAAGGAGGAAGGGACAAACCCAUGCUUGCCAGAGUGGGAAGUCAUCUCAAAACUUGAAGGAGGAAGUGCCAGUGGGAUCUCUCAAGCUGCUCUGUGAGGCAUCAGUUACAACAGACCACACCUGAAAUGUUUCUACAUCAAUGCAGAGUGUGAGGAGCGAAGAGGAGCUUGAGGCUUUGGCCUGGUCCAACAGAUUUUACAUCACUGGAAUAAUUUAAACCCAGUAGGAUGGGCCCUUGACUGGAGUGCCAUGUUGGAUGGUCACAAGUUCUUCAGGAGGGACAGGCAGGGCAAGAG